Ipomoea triloba (trilobed morning glory) is the source of this 305-nucleotide long non-coding RNA. RefSeq lists it as uncharacterized. The transcript is spliced from 3 exons. The record is from RefSeq and is a predicted model, not a curated record. NCBI's taxonomy places the organism in Eukaryota, Viridiplantae, Streptophyta, Magnoliopsida, Solanales, Convolvulaceae.
CAAAGUUGGUAUUCGUUAAUCAAUAAUCUGCUUUACACGUCUAGCUUACAGAAAUGAGAGAACAAAAUGAUACAAGCUAUGUGCCACAUCUAUGCAGCAAUCUCUUAUAUCUGUAUUGGUAAUGUUGAAUCCUCUUCAAAGGUUGUUGAUCUCAUUGGACCAAUUUUGAAUGUUUUUGUUGGAGUAAGAGAGAAAACCAGUUGUUCUUGCUCAUGGGUUUCUGUUGAUGAAUGAUGAGACAACAAAAUCUACAAGAAGCUAGCUAGAGUUAGACUAGCUACUGGUUUGCAGACAAGUAUGACAAC